This is a long non-coding RNA of Eptesicus fuscus (big brown bat), 772 nucleotides long. RefSeq lists it as uncharacterized. NCBI's taxonomy places the organism in Eukaryota, Metazoa, Chordata, Mammalia, Chiroptera, Vespertilionidae. The transcript has 3 exons. The record is from RefSeq and is a predicted model, not a curated record.
UGGGACGCCCCCGGUUUCGGUCGACUUCGUCUUCGGGGAGCUCCCGGGAGAGGCUGUGGGAAGGGAUGGAGGGGAAGCACGUAUCCUGCCGCAGUGGGGAAGCAGCCCCGGGAUCGCCCGUCCCUCUGCCUCGGCCCUGGGUCCCCUUCUCGGUCUCUCCACCGCCAUUGGGUGGGGCCUGUGAGGGCCGCCGCCUGGCCCACCUCUCCUAAUCAUGCCGAGAAGGGGCAAGUGCUCAUCCCCUGGGAAGAACCGAGCCCGCCUGGAGGACAGGACGAGCCCGGGGCAGGAGGAUGGUUCCGCCGAAGCCGCGUAAAAAAUGCAGCGAACCAAUGCAUGCUGUGGACGACCCUUGUGAAGUCUGAAAAAUAAGCCCGAUGCCCCUUAAUUGCCGGAUUCUCUUUCCCUCCAUUUCUCCGCUGUUCAGGGGAUGUGGGUAGGCCCCCCAGCAUCUGCGCUUCAAGGCCCUAACUACUGCUAUGAAGGCUUCUCCGAGGAAGGUGUCUUCUGGAGAUACUUGGCCAUUCCCUGAGUCUUACAGGUUUUCCAGUUGUCCUUUUCAAAAUCUUCAUGUCCACCAUCUCCCUCCUCGAACAUAGAAGUACUCUUCUCACCGAAAAGUUGUGAUGAAGGGCAUGAACCCUGGAGCUAGGCAAAUUGUAGUUUUUAGAUCUACUCUGUUCCAAAUCUGAUCUUCGGCAAGUGGAACUCACCUGCAAUGAUAGCUAUUCAAAUGUAGUUGUGUGGUGAUUAAAUAAAAUAAUAAAUAUCA